Molecule: non-coding RNA, 134 nt
Organism: Pelobates cultripes (western spadefoot toad)
Lineage: Eukaryota; Metazoa; Chordata; Amphibia; Anura; Pelobatidae
Source: the annotation of a GenBank genome assembly
GCAUGGAUGAAUUCUGCAUUUUCUUGCUGUAGUUUCUGCAGUCAGACACCAUGCUAAAAUAAAUCUCAGCUGAGCGUUUUCAUAUGACAUACAAAUCAAUUGUAUGCACACGGAUAGCACAGCAGAGUACAAAU